AGUCAUAUGCUUGUCUCAAAGAUUAAGCCAUGCAUGUCUAAGUAUAAAGAACUUUAUACUAUGAAACUGCGUACAGCUCAUUAUAUCAGUGAUUAUUUAUUUGAUGGUACCUUACUACAUGGAUAACCGUAGUAACCUAGAGCUAAUACAUGCAUAAAAUCCUGACUCUCGAGAAAGGAUGUAUUUAUUAGAUAAAGAAUCAAUACCGGCUCUGUCGGUUUCAUUGAUGAAUCAUAAUAACUGAUCGAAUCGCAUGCUUCGGCGGCGAUAGUUCAUUCAAAUUUCUGCCCUAUCAGCUUUCGACGGUAGUGUAGUGGACUACCGUGGCAUUAACGGGUAACGGAGAAUUAGGGUUCGAUUCCGGAGAGGGAGCCUGAGAAACGGCUACCACAUCCAAGGAUGGCAGCAGGCGCGCAAAUUACCCAAUCCUGACACAGGGAGGUAGUGACAAUAAAUAACAACCCCGGGUACUAGUUAUCUGGCGAUUGGAAUGAGUACAAUUUAAAUCCCUUAACGAGGAUCCAU
This 525-nucleotide ribosomal RNA is filed under the name uncultured marine eukaryote. Its description in RNAcentral is "bacterial SSU rRNA". It matches the Rfam family "Eukaryotic small subunit ribosomal RNA", at positions 22 to 548 of the family's 1831-position model. The record is from RNAcentral.